Petromyzon marinus (sea lamprey) is the source of this 454-nucleotide non-coding RNA. Lineage: Eukaryota; Metazoa; Chordata; Hyperoartia; Petromyzontiformes; Petromyzontidae. The record is from RefSeq and is a predicted model, not a curated record.
GGAGGAGGUGGAGGUGGUGGGGGAGGUGGAGGAGGUGGAGGACGAGGUGGUGGAGGAGUUGGAAUCUGUUUCAAGAAUAAAAGAGAUCGCAAAGUCAUCUGUGUAGAUCCCAAGGCUGAUUCUGUCCGCCUGAGUCUCCGCUCUCCACUCUACCUUCAGGCCGUCAUCUUUGACCACGUGACUCGUCGCAAGGCAUGAUGGGAAUCAAAAGUCUACAAUACAGUCUUUACCACACACAGUCAAUAAUAUAGCAUAUGAUACAUACAGUCAAUACCACGGUCUAUAAGACUCAUAAUUUAUUCUACAUUCAGUGUAUACUACAGGCUAUACCACAUACAGUCUAUACGAUAGAGUGCCAGUAUACUGUAGUCAUGUAUAGCCUGUAAUGUGUACAAUAAAGUCUAUACUGGCAUACAGUCUCUAAUCUACAGUCUAAUAAAUAGUCUCUAAUCUA